UACGUAGGGGGCAAGCGUUGUUCGGAAUUACUGGGCGUAAAGGGCGCGUAGGCGGCACGGCAAGUCGGGAGUGAAAGGCCUGGGCUCAACCGAGGAACUGCUUUCGAGACUGCCGAGCUAGAGUGCGGAAGGGGCAACCGGAAUUCCCAGUGUAGCGGUGAAAUGCGUAGAUAUUGGGAAGAACACCUGAGGCGAAGGCGGGUUGCUGGGCCGACACUGACGCUGAGGAGCGAAAGCGUGGGGAGCGAACAGG
Molecule: ribosomal RNA, 253 nt
Filed under: uncultured bacterium
Lineage: Bacteria
Description: partial 16S ribosomal RNA
Rfam family: Bacterial small subunit ribosomal RNA
Source: RNAcentral